CUCACAUCAUCAUCAUCGGAAAAUUGUUUUUGUUUCGAUUCCAUUUUCUUCGGAUCUUCCAUCUCAUUUCACAUAAAACUUAUUUAUUCAACAGUCACAGACACACUUAUAUAAUAUUUUGUGAUUUUUUCGGUGAACUUGAAAUGGAGAUGUAUGGACGGAGACAAGAUGUGAAAUAUAAUGGAAUACACGUCAUACGCUUCACGUAUCCUUGGGAAGAAUUAUUUAUUCUUACACACAAAAAUAGAGAUUUAAUGUGACUGAUGGGAACAUAACCAGUAUACUGACACCGGGCACGUGUCACAUGCUUUUGUUUCCUCUGCUUCAAUAAUGGGAACAAUAGUGUCAUCUGGUAAUCAAGAUUCGCGUUCGAUGACACCGUGAAACAGUAUGUUAUCCUGAAAUUAGAUUAAUUAAUCGAGAGGGUGCUAUGAACUUAGCCAUUAUACGCUCAGAUGUUAAUUUUUAAUUUGG
RNAcentral lists this unclassified non-coding RNA (474 nucleotides) under Bombus terrestris (buff-tailed bumblebee). RNAcentral's name for it is "misc RNA ENSBTSG00005025612.1". The record is from RNAcentral. Lineage: Eukaryota; Metazoa; Arthropoda; Insecta; Hymenoptera; Apidae.